AAUGAACGCUGGCGGCGUGCUUAACACAUGCAAGUCGAACGAGAAAGUUUCCUUCGGGAAAUGAGUAGAGUGGCGCACGGGUGAGUAACACGUGGGUAAUCUACCCUUCAAUUUGGGAUAACAUCGCGAAAGUGAUGCUAAUACCGGAUAACAUCCAGAGGUCUACGGAUCUUUGGAUCAAAGAUGGCCAAUCCUUGGAAGCUAUUGUUGAGGGAUGAGUCCGCGUACCAUUAGCUAGUUGGUAGGGUAAAGGCCUACCAAGGCGACGAUGGUUAGCUGGUCUGAGAGGAUGAUCAGCCACACUGGAACUGACACACGGUCCAGACUCCUACGGGAGGCAGCAGUGAGGAAUUUUGCGCAAUGGGGGAAACCCGUGACGCAGCAACGCCGCGUGAGUGAUGAAGGCCCUUGGGUCGUAAAACUCUGUCAGCAGGGAAGAAGUUAUAUAUGGUUAAUACCCAUGUAUAUUGACAGUACCUGC
This 481-nucleotide ribosomal RNA is filed under the name uncultured bacterium. RNAcentral's name for it is "bacterial SSU rRNA". It matches the Rfam family "Bacterial small subunit ribosomal RNA", at positions 29 to 482 of the family's 1533-position model. The record is from RNAcentral.